CCAGAGAGCAAUAAUAGCACAGCAGAAGAGCCGGGGGGGGUUUUGAGUGGGCAAGGAGUUGUUCCUCGCGCAGGACGCGCAUUAACUCGACGAACACCAGCCCGCCCGCCGGCCCUCCCAAUCCCUAUCUAGCUCCUAGGGUUUGGCCCCUGCGUUCUCAGCUGUUGUAGGUGAUCCCUCCACCGUCCAGAUGUGACCCAACGGUGGAUGAAAGAGCCUGCCCCAUGGAUCAAGGGAUGUCACUCACCUAUAAAAAAGAGACUAGGGGGAAGCUUUCAUGAGCCGUCCAUGGAGUCGGGAAGACGAAGAAACAGGAAGCUUAUCCUUUGAGGGGAAUGUUGUCUGGCUCGAGGUCACUGCUAGUCCUCCACCCUGUGGAAGAGAUCUCGGACCAGGCUUCAUUCCCCCCAAUCAUAGCUUCCAUCUCCGACACAUGAGGGUGUAGUACAUAUCGGAACGUUGCAGAUCUGCAAGACUCAUAACUCAUAGUUCUGUUUCUCUCUUUGCUGCUUGUUUUGCGUUGAGAUUUCCUCUACCCCCCGCCCCCCGCUCUCUCUCUCUCUCUCUCUCUCUCUCU
This is a long non-coding RNA of Musa acuminata subsp. malaccensis (wild Malaysian banana), 577 nucleotides long. RefSeq lists it as uncharacterized. Lineage: Eukaryota; Viridiplantae; Streptophyta; Magnoliopsida; Zingiberales; Musaceae. The record is from RefSeq and is a predicted model, not a curated record.